GAAAAAGAACAAAACAAAAUCCGUUGCGUCCGUAGUAUUAUCCUUUUGCAGUGUCUGGCCGUCGCGCUCUCGCCGUCUCGCUGCCGGCUGCCGGCUGCCCCUCCCCCUCGCCGCGCCCGAUUUCUCCGCCAACUCCCAUACCCAAGUUCUAGGGAAAGAUACACUGCUCCGAUGGCGGUCAGAGUUCCGUCCAUGGAGCUGAACCGCUCCCCGCCGCUCCUCUCCGGCGGCAGAGGCAAAACAUGCCUUCAGAAGCCUUUCAUUGUCCAAGCAAAGAGAUCAGGUGGAUUGGAGAAAGCAAAUACUAGGUCACGAGGACCGCAAGCUUCUGAAAAACUCAAGAAAAGAGAACCCCUGACUCGUGGGACUGUUAGUGCGCCUCUUCCGGUACCAGGACACAUACCUCGACCUCCUUACGUUGGAUCAAACAAAAUGCCCGAGAUAUCGAGUGAGAGACAAAUGCAGGACAAAGACACCAUCGUGCACAUGAAAGCUGCAUGUGAGCUUGCUGCUCGUGUUCUUCAAAAUGCAGGGAAAUUAGUCAAACCCUCUGUAACAACAGACGAAAUUGAUAAAGCAGUGCACAAGAUGAUCAUUGAUGCUGGAGCCUAUCCAUCCCCGCUUGGAUACGGUGGGUUUCCAAAAAGUGUAUGCACAUCAGUGAACGAAUGCAUGUGCCAUGGUAUUCCUGAUUCACGAGAACUAAAGGAUGGAGACAUAAUUAACAUCGAUGUCACUGUCUACUUGAACGGUUUUCAUGGGGAUACCUCUAAAACGUUUUUCUGUGGAGAAGUUGACGAAGCUGCUAAAAGACUUGUGAAGGUUACUGAAGAGUGCAUGCUUAGGGGCAUAUCAUCCUGCAAACACGGUGUGAGCUUUAAGAAAAUCGGCAGAAGAAUAAGCGAGCAUGCUGAGAGGAAUGGAUUUGGUGUCGUGGAGCAAUUUGUUGGGCAUGGAGUUGGCAGAGUUUUUCAUUCACAACCAAUUAUAUAUCACCAGCGCAACAACAUGCCAGGGCAGAUGGUUGAAGGCCAGACGUUCACAAUAGAGCCGAUCCUGACCAUGGGAAGCAACAGCAACAGCAUCGAGUGCGACAUGUGGGAGGACGGCUGGACGGCGGUGACGACGGACGGCAGCCUGGCGGCGCAGUUCGAGCACACCAUCCUCAUCACCAGGACCGGCGCAGAGAUCCUAACCAAAUGCUAGCAAAGCCAGCGCUGAAGGCGUACGGAUCCUGACCGCGUAGAUCACGUGAUUUCUUCUUAUGUUGUAUGCCAAAGCAUCACUGGAACAGCUGCUUACGUAUAACCGAUGAUUUUUGGCAGCGGCAAAGAGCUCCAGGCUUCCUCUGGCACACUAUGCCCGGUGUUUUGCUGAACGGGGCCGAGGAUCUGCAUGGCCUACAUCGCUGACUUGCCGUUGCGUGCGCUAGUAUUUCGUCGGCCUGGGUGGGGGCACGAGAACGACCACCGCCAGUGCACCACGCGACGCACCCCCUUUUUUUGGAAAAGUACUCACAGUAUUAUAAAAGGUUCAUUGGAAGUAUAAAACACUUUUUUUUUGCGAGUGAAAAAUUUGUAUUACUCAACCAUCAAAGUUACAAUCAGCAAGAGCCAGC
Molecule: ribosomal RNA, 1618 nt
Filed under: Triticum aestivum (bread wheat)
Lineage: Eukaryota; Viridiplantae; Streptophyta; Magnoliopsida; Poales; Poaceae
Description: partial small subunit ribosomal RNA
Source: RNAcentral